UUUGCUAUCUAGCCAAGUUUGGAGUCAACAUUAAGUAAAUAGCUUUGAUUUUGACGUUAUUAAAUUGAUAACAUUUCAUACACAUUUUAUCCGGUUAUGUCAUUAUCCUUUCUAAGUUACCGGUGACAGUGGGACCAAGGAUUAACGUCGACGAGAGCACAUGUCCAAGAGAAAUUGAAAUUUAAUGUUGUCCACGUACGGGUUAACUAUUCUAAGUAAGUGUUGUAUUCUAUUUAUAAAAGUACUAUGUCAGAUAGAACAAACAGAAUAUCUUCAUACGAAACAGAAUUAUAAACUCUAAACCUAACCUGCACACUUAAAUACUAAACCAUAAACUCGAGUCUCUAAAUCCAAACCCAAAUGUUAAAUUUAAUUUAAAGUUACAAUAUUUGAAGGAAAACAACAAAAAAUAAUAAAUAUAUAAAUUUUGAACUAUUAUUCUAUAUUAUCUAACAUGGAAUGAAGACUACUCUUGUAAUUCAACCCCAACUCACCUCUAACCCUAAACCCAACACACCUCCAAGACUGAUAUACUAAACCCUAAACUUGAAUUCCUAAACCCAAAUCUAAAUGUAAAA
RNAcentral lists this long non-coding RNA (578 nucleotides) under Brassica napus (rape). RNAcentral's name for it is "long non-coding RNA (BNAP_LNC008213)". The record is from RNAcentral. Lineage: Eukaryota; Viridiplantae; Streptophyta; Magnoliopsida; Brassicales; Brassicaceae.